RNAcentral lists this ribosomal RNA (438 nucleotides) under uncultured bacterium. Its description in RNAcentral is "partial 16S ribosomal RNA". It matches the Rfam family "Bacterial small subunit ribosomal RNA", at positions 339 to 795 of the family's 1533-position model. The record is from RNAcentral.
CUACGGGUCGCUGCAGUGAGGAAUAUUGCACAAUGGGGGGAACCCUGAUGCAGCAACGCCGCGUGGAGGAUGACGCAUUUCGGUGUGUAAACUCCUUUUAUAUGUCAAGAAAAUGACGGUAGCAUAUGAAUAAGCACCGGCUAACUCCGUGCCAGCAGCCGCGGUAAUACGGAGGGUGCAAGCGUUACUCGGAAUCACUGGGCGUAAAGGACGCGUAGGCGGGUUGGAAAGUCAGGUGUGAAAUCCUACAGCUUAACUGUAGAACUGCACUUGAAACUUCUAAUCUAGAGUAUGGGAGGGGAGAUGGAAUUAGUGGUGUAGGGGUAAAAUUCGUAGAUAUCACUAGGAAUACCUAAAGCGAAGGCGAUCUCCUGGAACAUUACUGACGCUAAGGCGUGAAAGCGUGGGGAGCAAACAGGAUUAGAUACCCUAGUAGUC